CCUCCUGACCGCUUUGCACGUAGUGCACAAUGGCCGAGGUUACCUCCUUUAUCGAGUUCCUUACCUCUAGCUGCUGAUUCGUUGUCUGCUGUUGCUGCUGUUGUUGUUGCUGCUGCGGAGAAAAAUUUUGAUCUGUACAGUUUUAAAAAUCACGUAAUAUCGAUGAAGCACUUUUUUUUCAAUAACUUUCUAGGAAGGAAUGAACGAUGGUUAAAAUAAUCUUCUGAUAGUUAAUUAGAAGGAUGACCUUUGUUACGUGUAUCAAGAUCAAGGUCAAGCUUGACUCUCUUAAUUGAACGAUUCUAUAAAAAAAUUGUAUUAUGUUAAUCGAGGACAAUACUUGGAUAGUGGGAUUCAACUAUAUAGAUUCGGAUAACGGUCAAUUUGUCUCAGGUUAUAAAGGCCACGAGACACCAGAAGUAGAAUUUCUGCCAGAAUUUCUAAUUAUAGAGAAGUCGUUGCAUUUGCGUGAUGUCUGAGCAAAUUAAAAAUAAAUUGGACAAAGAGGAAAGCGAGGAUAAAGAUAAAGUAUAAUGACAACUUUUGAAAUAAGUUGAAGUGACAAUUGGACGAUAAUUGAAGAAAAAUCCAAGUGCUGGCAAAUAUGAAUACAAACCUUGUUGGCUGCUUGCAACUGGGGAAGAAUACCCUGAGCAAGACGUUCUGCCGG
Molecule: long non-coding RNA, 670 nt
Organism: Apis laboriosa (Himalayan honeybee)
Lineage: Eukaryota; Metazoa; Arthropoda; Insecta; Hymenoptera; Apidae
Exons: 3
Source: RefSeq, a predicted model, not a curated record